This 38-nucleotide ribosomal RNA is filed under the name Dermanyssus gallinae. RNAcentral describes it as "partial 28S ribosomal RNA". RNAcentral also lists the same sequence under 1 other name. Lineage: Eukaryota; Metazoa; Arthropoda; Arachnida; Mesostigmata; Dermanyssidae. The record is from RNAcentral.
GAAAUCAAGUGUGACGACCCCCUGAAUUUAAGCAUAUA